Molecule: ribosomal RNA, 208 nt
Filed under: uncultured bacterium
Lineage: Bacteria
Description: partial 16S ribosomal RNA
Rfam family: Bacterial small subunit ribosomal RNA
Source: RNAcentral
GGCCUAGGCGGUUGGGUAAGUCAGGGGUGAAAUCUUCACGGCUCAACCGGGAAAUUGCCCUUGAUACUGCCUGACUCGAGUCCGGACGAGGGAAGCAGAAUUCCGUGUGUAGCGGUGAAAUGCGUAGAUAUACGGAGGAAUACCAGUGGCGAAGGCGGCUUCCUGGACCGGCACUGACGCUGAAGCCCGAAAGCGUGGGGAGCGAACG